Molecule: ribosomal RNA, 465 nt
Filed under: Vreelandella stevensii
Lineage: Bacteria; Pseudomonadati; Pseudomonadota; Gammaproteobacteria; Oceanospirillales; Halomonadaceae
Description: partial 16S ribosomal RNA
Rfam family: Bacterial small subunit ribosomal RNA
Source: RNAcentral
CCUACGGGGGGCUGCAGUGGGGAAUAUUGGACAAUGGGGGGAACCCUGAUCCAGCCAUGCCGCGUGUGUGAAGAAGGCCCCCGGGUUGUAAAGCACUUUCAGUGAGGAAGAACGCCUGGUGGUUAAUACCCAUCAGGAAAGACAUCACUCACAGAAGAAGCACCGGCUAACUCCGUGCCAGCAGCCGCGGUAAUACGGAGGGUGCGAGCGUUAAUCGGAAUUACUGGGCGUAAAGCGCGCGUAGGUGGCUUGAUAAGCCGGUUGUGAAAGCCCCGGGCUCAACCUGGGAACGGCAUCCGGAACUGUCAAGCUAGAGUGCAGGAGAGGAAGGUAGAAUUCCCGGUGUAGCAGUGAAAUGCGUAGAGAUCGGGAGGAAUACCAGUGGCGAAGGCGGCCUUCUGGACUGACACUGACACUGAGGUGCGAAAGCGUGGGUAGCAAACAGGAUUAGAUACCCUGGUAGUC